AGAGUUUGAUCAUGGCUCAGGAUGAACGCUGGCGGCGUGCUUAACACAUGCAAGUCGAACGAAGAUGCCGGAGUGCUUGCACUUUGGCAGACUGAGUGGCGGACGGGUGAGUAACGCGUGGGUAACCUGCCUUAUACAGGGGGAUAACAGUUGGAAACGACUGCUAAUACCGCAUAAGCGCACGGUAUCGCAUGAUACAGUGUGAAAAACUCCGGUGGUAUAAGAUGGACCCGCGUCUGAUUAGCUUGUUGGUGAGGUAACGGCCCACAAGGCGACGAUCAGUAGCCGGCCUGAGAGGGUNAACGGCCACAUUGGGACUGAGACGCGGUCCAAACUCCUACGGGAGCA
This 348-nucleotide ribosomal RNA is filed under the name uncultured bacterium. RNAcentral describes it as "bacterial SSU rRNA". It matches the Rfam family "Bacterial small subunit ribosomal RNA", at positions 8 to 349 of the family's 1533-position model. The record is from RNAcentral.